This 388-nucleotide ribosomal RNA is filed under the name uncultured bacterium. RNAcentral's name for it is "bacterial SSU rRNA". It matches the Rfam family "Bacterial small subunit ribosomal RNA", at positions 28 to 417 of the family's 1533-position model. The record is from RNAcentral.
GACGAACGCUGGCGGCGUGCUUAACACAUGCAAGUCGAGCGGUAAGGCCCCUUCGGGGGUACACGAGCGGCGAACGGGUGAGUAACACGUGGGUGACCUGCCCUCAGCUCUGGGAUGAGCCUGGGAAACUGGGUCUAAUACCGGAUAUGACUCCAUGACGCAUGUCGUGGGGUGGAAAGCCUUGUGCGGCUGGGGAUGGGCCCGCGGCCUAUCAGCUUGUUGGUGGGGUGANGGCCUACCAAGGCGACGACGGGUAGCCGGCCUGAGAGGGCGACCGGCCACACUGGGACUGAGACACGGCCCAGACUCCUACGGGAGGCAGCAGUGGGGAAUCUUGCGCAAUGGGCGAAAGCCUGACGCAGCGACGCCGCGUGAGGGAUGACGGCCU